RNAcentral lists this ribosomal RNA (521 nucleotides) under uncultured eukaryote. RNAcentral's name for it is "SSU rRNA". It matches the Rfam family "Eukaryotic small subunit ribosomal RNA", at positions 778 to 1272 of the family's 1831-position model. The record is from RNAcentral.
AGGCAGGCGUGCGCCGGAAUACAUUAGCAUGGUAUAAACGAAUUGGACCGUGUGCCCGUAACUGGGCUUCUCCUUAUUGUUGGUUUGAAGGACACGGAGAUGGUUAAUAGGGACAGCGUUUAUUUCACAAGGAGGCAUUAGUAUUUAAUUUCCAGAGGUGAAAUUCUUUGAAAUAUUAAAGACUAACUUAUGCGAAAGCAUCGUUUGCCAAUGAUGUUUUCAUUAAUCAUUGAACGAAAGUUAGGGGAUCAAAGACGAUCAGAUACCGUCCUAGUCUUAACCAUAAACGUUGCCGACUAGGGAUCGGAGGGCGUGCACAAUCCGCCUUCGGCACCUUACGAGAAAUCAAAGUCUUUUGGGUUCUGUGGGUAGUAUGGUCGCAAGGCUGAAACUUAAAGGAAUUGACGGAAGGGCACCACCAGGAGUGGAGCUUGCGGCUCAAUUUGACUCAACACGGGAAAUCUUACCAGGUCCAGACAUAGCGAGGAUUGACAGAUUGAUAGCUCUUUCUUGAUUCUAUG